CCUAGGGUGGCAGCAGUAGGGAAUCUUAGAAAUGGACGAAAGUCUGAUCUAGCGACACCGCGUGUGCGAUGAAGGCCUUCGGGUUGUAAAGCACUUUUUGGAAGGAAUAGGAAGGAAGGUACUUCCAGAAUAAGUCUCGGCUAACUACGUGCCAGCAGCCGCGGUAACACGUAGGAGGCAAACGUUAUCCGGAUUUACUGGGCGUAAAGCGCGUGUAGGUGGUUCUGUAAGUAGGGCGUGAAAGCUCCCGGCUCAACUGGGAGAGGCCGUUCUAAACUGCAGAACUAGAGGAUGGUAGAGGGAGGUGGAAUUUCAGGUGUAGCGGUGGAAUGCGCAGAUAUCUGAAGGAACACCAGUGGCGAAAGCGGCCUCCUGGACCAUUCCUGACACUCAGACGCGAAAGCUAGGGUAGCAAACG
Molecule: ribosomal RNA, 418 nt
Filed under: uncultured prokaryote
Description: bacterial SSU rRNA
Rfam family: Bacterial small subunit ribosomal RNA
Source: RNAcentral